AGUGAGCACAGAUGGAUCUAGCUACAACUUAGAGAGGUCACUGAAAUAUGGCACUUGAUUACAGUGUUCUUUGAAGGGCAUACAGCUAUUUUCACUACAUCAGAACACUCGACCAUCAUGAACAUCAUAAAUACUCUCUUGUCUCUGCUGUUUGGCAUUUUGGCUGGGCUGAUCCUAGUUUUUGGCUUGAUUGUAAUGUUUUGCAUCCUGCUUUUCAGCACAAGACUAACUGUUACAUUUGGUGAAACUAAGAUGGUCACCAUAUUUGAAAAAGCAGCAAUGGUGACUGAAUUUGUCAAACCCAGUCCAGUCACCAAACCAGAAGCAUCCCACCUAGUAAUCGAAUUUGACAAAGCUGAGCUACUUGCCAAAUUGGCCAAGGAGAUCGCUCCCAACUACAGCGUGAAUAGAAAAAAGCUGUAGUAUCUCUGAUACUCCUGCAAAGGAACAUGCAGAUCUCUAUGAAAAACAAGACUUGGACUGGCAUCUCAGUGAAAGUGGAUCCCAAUGACAACACUUGGAAUGCCAAGGCCAAUAUCCAAGUCAAAUCUGAUGCCCAAGAAGAUGUCAAUUUAGAAGAGGAAAUCUUAAUUUUCAACUGUAAACAGCUGAAUGACAGCUGCACUGUAACAACUUACAAUAUCCAAAAUGAACCCACAAUCCAGAGUCUAGAGCUGAGUGAUGUUGUGCGGGCCAUCUUGCAGGUGUUUUAUGGCGCUCUUCAGAUGCCAUCAGCUGUAGGAUCCACUGACACCAAUGAGAUUAGCAAAAGUAAGGCGGCAGAAAUCUACCAGAGCAGUGAAGAGUGAGCCUAGCCUCUUCACAUCUGGAAGACUGACACAAUGUACAAGAUUACAACAUUCCAGAACCCACUCUCCUCGGAUUGUUGCAUUUCAGAAACAAGACAGACAUAACUUGCUCAUCUGUUACUGAUCUGUGGGGGAAAAAAAUUAAAGCAUGCUGCACUCCUAA
This is an RNA transcript of Mauremys reevesii (Reeves's turtle), 972 nucleotides long. RefSeq lists it as uncharacterized. The record is from RefSeq and is a predicted model, not a curated record. NCBI's taxonomy places the organism in Eukaryota, Metazoa, Chordata, Testudines, Geoemydidae. The transcript has 3 exons.